This 253-nucleotide ribosomal RNA is filed under the name uncultured bacterium. Its description in RNAcentral is "partial 16S ribosomal RNA". It matches the Rfam family "Bacterial small subunit ribosomal RNA", at positions 524 to 776 of the family's 1533-position model. The record is from RNAcentral.
UACGUAGGGUGCAAGCGUUGUCCGGAAUUAUUGGGCGUAAAGAGCUCGUAGGCGGUCUGUCGCGUCGGCUGUGAAAACUCGGGGCUCAACUCCGAGCUUGCAGUCGAUACGGGCAGGCUAGAGUUCGGCAGGGGAGACUGGAAUUCCUGGUGUAGCGGUGAAAUGCGCAGAUAUCAGGAGGAACACCGGUGGCGAAGGCGGGUCUCUGGGCCGAUAUUGACGCUGAGGAGCGAAAGCGUGGGGAGCGAACAGG